AUAUUGUCAGUUUAAAAUUCAAGUAUUGACCAUAAAAAAUUUCAUCAUUUCAACUGAUAGUUUCUGUUGCAACCAUUGCAAUCAUAUUAACUUUAGUGUCUUCAUUUGUCCAUCUGUUUAAUGGUGCACAUUACUAAAUUUUGUUCUUUCUCCCUUUGAAAAGAGGAAUGUUUUACUUCCUCCCUCUUGUUGAUAUUUUCCCCUAUCUGGUGGUAUGAAUUGGAAGCCUUAGAUUUGAUUUUGUAUUUAAUAGCAUAAAGAUGCUUAAUAUGCUCGUGCCUCUUUGGUCAAUAUGUUCAUAAGACUUAUUAGUUACUGUAUUGCUUUAAACCUUCAGUUCCAGCAUUUAGCUUCUAUUAGUUCUGGGCCAGGAUAUUUCUUCUAUAAAUCCCCCCUCUUGCAGGAUAAAGUGGGUUUGAGCCCGAUCAAAUCUGCUCAAAUUGCAAAGAGAAAGCAUGCUAGGAAAGCUACAGGCUCCAGCAAUGGGGCUGGGAUUUGAACAAGGAGUGGCCUUGGCAGAAUUGCCUUGAAUCGCAAUACAAUAAGCACACAGAUGCAUAACAUAAAGCUGGCUUUUUCUCCUCUUUCUCUCUCUCUCUCUCUGCAGAGAAAUUAACCUUAUGCUCAGACCUGCUUCUUCUUGUCAUAUGUGGUGUCUUUAGAGGUGGCAAAAGGCAUGCUCAGGUCCAAUUGCUUCGGUUUAAGUCUUCUUUAGAUUAGAUCAUUUUAUUUUCACAUUAUCUUUGGUUUUGGUCAUUUUUAGUCUGGUUAUCUGGAGUUUGGAUCAGAUUUAAGUUCGAGUUAGAAUAAAAUUGAUAACUAAAUCUGUAAUUUUAGUAUUAAGUUCAGGUUGUUGUGGAUUUUGAUGUAGAGUCAUUUCAAGUUUGUUUUAUUUCAGGUUAGGAUCAUUUUAGGCUUAGGCUUAGGCUUAGGUUGUUUGUAUUCAAAUUAUCUAGGAUUUGGAUUUACUCAGGUAUGGGUUUUGACAUUUUAUUAGAUUCGAGUUUGAGUGGAGGCUGGUUCGAACUUUUCUGGGCCAGUUUUAGAGUUCCAAUUUAUUUGGUCAUCUUGAAUUACCAUACAUAUAUGACAAUGAUUCUAGAUCCGCAUCUAGAUUCCACCAAGACAAACAGCUUGAAUUCCUUUUCAAUGUGAAAAAUCUUUCUCAAGUUACACAUUAAUCUCCCUUUUUAUAUUAUAUUCAGGAAUCUCUGCUUGACAAAUGGAAUCCUAAUCAACUAAAGUGGGCAGGGAGAGUGGAAUCUUCAACAGCCUUUUGUUCAAUUACAUCCAAUGGUGAGUGGUUGGUUUGCAUAUUGCACCUUCAUUUUUCCAUACAGGAAUUGCGUGCUCUGCUAGUCAUAAUCACACUAGUAGUUUACCAGUUGAUUGGGGCUCCCACUUGGCCAUGACUUUGAUAUGCACUUGCAAAAUUUUAUCAUAAGCUUCAACAUAAUACACGCAUGUGCUUAUCAUGAGAUGAUUUGUAUGAGUGCUUUCUAUUUGCUAGUAAUACUUCGUGCAUUUCAGUUUUUGUCGGUUUAAAAGUAAAAAGUGCAAGGUGCUGGAUCUUGACUCUGCUUUGUUUUCUAUCAGUAGAAUGAUUAUUUUCUGAUAAUGGACGAAUAAUAAAAUGAACGGUUGUUGGAUCUUGACUCUCUGCUUUGGUUUCUAUCAGUACAAUCAUAGUUUUUGUGAUAAUUGACGAAUAAUAAAAUGAAUGGUUCCAUUUGGCUUGGCUUCCACUUCCUCUCCUGUUAUCUCCUAUUUGAGUAUGGGAUUUGAGCCUACCCACUAAUUUCGAUUAACAUUGGAGAAUGUAUUUAUAAUAUUUUUAUUAUGUGGUGAUCAGUAGUGGAAGUGAUCAGUAGUGAAAUAAAUUCCACUACUAAUUGAUAGAAAAUGGAGUAAAUUUUGAUUUCUUGGAAGUUGAAAGUUAUUUGUUCUUUUUUCUUUUUGGUACUAUAUCCUUGGAGGCACUGUUGUUUCCUAUUCCAUAGGCAGGAUCAUAGGAAGUGGUGGCGGGGCUGGAGCUGGGGCUGGGGCUGGGGCUGGGGCUGGGGCUGGGGCUGGGGGAGAUUUGACUCUGAAUUCAGGUUUAGGGAUUAGGGUUCCGAUUUUUUUAACUAACAUUGUGGAGUGGCAUUGAUAUGAUAUUCAUCACCAAAGGUUACAUUUAUUUCUUAUUUUUCUACAUUAUUGGCGGAAAUUGCAA
This 2215-nucleotide long non-coding RNA is filed under the name Gossypium barbadense (sea-island cotton). Its description in RNAcentral is "long non-coding RNA (GBAR_LNC006543)". The record is from RNAcentral. Lineage: Eukaryota; Viridiplantae; Streptophyta; Magnoliopsida; Malvales; Malvaceae.